CUCAAGGCUUUGAAGGGAAAAAGUAGGAACGAAACCUGCGCCCAGAGAGGGAAACCCGCGGGCUGGAAGGUUUCCCGCGCCAGGUGUUCCGAAACCCGUCCCGGAGCCGAAGGCGAUGAGCCUUGCCGGCAAUCCCUGCCGUUAACCGAGGGAGGGUAUAACCCCGUUUUCGAUUGGGGCGUACCUGUAAUGAGUGGGCCGUGCGGCCAAUAAAGGUGGUACCGCGGAAUAAAACCUUUCGCCCUUUGU
RNAcentral lists this non-coding RNA (249 nucleotides) under Fervidicola ferrireducens. RNAcentral describes it as "T-box sequence". It matches the Rfam family "T-box leader". Rfam says of the family: Uncharged tRNA acts as the effector for transcription antitermination of genes in the T-box leader family. T-boxes are found upstream of many aminoacyl-tRNA synthetase genes and some amino acid biosynthetic genes usually in Gram-positive bacteria. The anticodon of a specific tRNA base pairs to a specifier sequence within the T-box motif, and the NCCA acceptor tail of the tRNA base pairs to a conserved bulge in the T-box antiterminator hairpin. Lineage: Bacteria; Bacillati; Bacillota; Clostridia; Thermosediminibacterales; Thermosediminibacteraceae. The record is from RNAcentral.